CACGUAGGGCGCAAGCGUUGUCCGGAAUCAUUGGGCGUAAAGAGCGUGUAGGCGGCUUGGUAAGUCCGCUGUGAAAGUCCAGGGCUCAACCCUGGAAAGCCGGUGGAAACUGUCAAGCUUGAGUCCGGAAGAGGCGAGUGGAAUUCCUGGUGUAGCGGUGAAAUGCGCAGAUAUCAGGAGGAACACAAAUGGCGAAGGCAGCUCGCUGGGACGGUACUGACGCUGAGACGCGAAAGCGUGGGGAGCAAACAGG
This 253-nucleotide ribosomal RNA is filed under the name uncultured bacterium. Its description in RNAcentral is "partial 16S ribosomal RNA". It matches the Rfam family "Bacterial small subunit ribosomal RNA", at positions 524 to 776 of the family's 1533-position model. The record is from RNAcentral.